This 251-nucleotide unclassified non-coding RNA is filed under the name uncultured fungus. Its description in RNAcentral is "sequence contains ITS1, 5.8S rRNA gene". The stretch from base 203 to 251 matches the Rfam family "5.8S ribosomal RNA", at positions 1 to 49 of the family's 154-position model. The record is from RNAcentral. Lineage: Eukaryota; Fungi.
UUUCCGUAGGUGAACCUGCGGAAGGAUCAUUAAAGAGAUCAUGCCCUCACGGGUAGACCUCCCACCCUUUGUUUACAAUACCUUUGUUGCUUUGGCGGGCCCGUUUGGCCCCGCGCUGAACAACCGGCCCCGGCUGGUCAGUGCCCGCCAGAGAACCGAAAACUCUGAAUUAAAUGUCGUCUGAGUACUAUGUAAUAGUUAAAACUUUCAACAACGGAUCUCUUGGUUCUGGCAUCGAUGAAGAACGCAGC